AAAACUUAAACUAGGAUCAAAGUUAUCGGUCAGUGACUAAAUCGAAAAAUCGCGCCGCGUUGCCAUGAAUCGCGCCGUUGGGCCAUGAAACUAUAUAACGUUCUCUAAAGUUGGAAACAGUUUGAAAGUCAAUUAACAAUAAAAUGUUACUCACACGUUAAAUUGAUUGACAAGAAAUUAGCUUAAUAAUAUCCUCCUUUCAAUUGAAAUGGGGUCUGGUUAGGAAGGCAUUCGAGAGCCGUUUAAGAUCUACGACGCGACCCAGGCUCGACGACGCGCUUUCGAAACAAAGAAAUUUGUCAUGCAAGACAAAAACUGUGAAUAAUUUGUGGUUUCAGACCCAGGGUAUUCACAACGGCUUUGUCAUUCUCAACACAACGUUAAACUAAACAUCACGUCUUUCAAGCAACGUGAAAGCUUAUUGCUACCAGAGCUGCCGAGAGAAUUCCGGAGGGGCCCGGGGCAAUCUUCUCUGGGGGCCCCAUGACAUCAUUAUUUUUAAGCCAGACCCAAGUCAGUCACCCAAAUAGACCUUAACUAGACUGCAUGUGGAGCUACUGCAAG
Molecule: non-coding RNA, 564 nt
Organism: Paramuricea clavata
Lineage: Eukaryota; Metazoa; Cnidaria; Anthozoa; Malacalcyonacea; Plexauridae
Source: the annotation of a GenBank genome assembly